CAUUUCUUUUUGUUAAUAUAUUAAAGUAAGACCUGCUCAAUGAAUAUUUUAAAUAGCUGCGGUAUUUUGACUGUACAAAGGUAGCAUAAUCAUUAGUUUUUUAAUUGAAAGCUAGAAUGAAUGGUUUAACGAGGAAUGAGCUGUCUUUAUUUUAUUAGUAAAAUUUAAUUUUUUUGUUAAAAAGCUGAGAUUUAUUUAAAAGACGAGAAGACCCUAUAGAUCUUUAUUUAAAUAGUUAAUUUAAUUUUUUUGAUUAAGGUUUUUAUUUAACUAAUUAAAUUUUAUUGGGGUGAUGUAAAGAUUCAAUAAACUCUUUAUAAUUUAGUUUAAUUGUUUUUAUUAUUUUGAUCCAUUAUUUAUGAUUAUAAGAUUAAGUUACCUUAGGGAUAACAGCGUAAUUUUUUUGAAGAGUUCUUAUCGAUAAAAAAGAUUGCGACCUCGAUGUUGGAUUAAGAAAAAAUUUUGGUGAAGAAUUUAAAAUUUUAAGUCUGUUCGACUUUUAAACUCUUACAUGAUCUGAGU
RNAcentral lists this ribosomal RNA (522 nucleotides) under Scirtoidea sp. UPOL RK0698. RNAcentral describes it as "partial 16S ribosomal RNA". The stretch from base 386 to 522 matches the Rfam family "Bacterial large subunit ribosomal RNA", at positions 2473 to 2610 of the family's 2925-position model. The record is from RNAcentral. Lineage: Eukaryota; Metazoa; Arthropoda; Insecta; Coleoptera.